GCAGGGAUAGCUCAGUUGGGAGAGUGUUAGAUUGAAGAUCUAAAGGUUAUGUGUUCGAUUCAUGUUCACUGCA
Ipomoea nil (Japanese morning glory) is the source of this 73-nucleotide transfer RNA. It matches the Rfam family "tRNA". Rfam says of the family: Transfer RNA (tRNA) molecules are approximately 80 nucleotides in length. The record is from Rfam. NCBI's taxonomy places the organism in Eukaryota, Viridiplantae, Streptophyta, Magnoliopsida, Solanales, Convolvulaceae.